This 19-nucleotide unclassified non-coding RNA is filed under the name Mus musculus (house mouse). RNAcentral's name for it is "oocyte_clustered_small_RNA9173". The record is from RNAcentral. Lineage: Eukaryota; Metazoa; Chordata; Mammalia; Rodentia; Muridae.
GGUGUGCACGCAGGUUGCA